GUCUUUUUGAUAAUAAUUUAAAGUCUCGCCUGCCCACUGAGAUUUUUUAAUGGCCGCGGUAUUUUGACCGUGCAAAGGUAGCAUAAUCAUUAGUUUUUUAAUUGAAAGCUGGAAUGAAUGGUUGGAUAAGGAAAAAACUGUCUCAUUUUAAAAAUUUUGAAUUUUAUUUUUAAGUUAAAAAGCUUAAAUAAAUUUAAAAGACGAGAAGACCCUAUAGAGUUUAAUAGAUUUAGUUAAAAUUAAUUUUAUAGAAUAAAUUUUUUAAUUUUGAUUAGUCUAUUUAAUUGGGGUGAUUGAAAAAUUUAAUUAACUUUUUUUAUAAUUUUACAUUAAUUUAUGAAUAAAUGAUCCAUUUAAAUGAUUAAAAGAUUAAAUUACCUUAGGGAUAACAGCGUAAUUUUUUCAGAGAGUUCUUAUCGAAGAAAGAGAUUGCGACCUCGAUGUUGGAUUAAAAUUAAUUAUUGGUGUAGAAGCUAAUAAAUUAGGUCUGUUCGACCUUUAAAAUUUUACA
This 511-nucleotide ribosomal RNA is filed under the name Mycetina amabilis. RNAcentral's name for it is "partial 16S ribosomal RNA". The stretch from base 385 to 511 matches the Rfam family "Bacterial large subunit ribosomal RNA", at positions 2473 to 2600 of the family's 2925-position model. The record is from RNAcentral. Lineage: Eukaryota; Metazoa; Arthropoda; Insecta; Coleoptera; Endomychidae.